GUCUUUUUGAAUUUAAUUUAAAGUCUAAUCUGCUCUAUGAAUAAUUAUUUAAAUGGCUGCAGUAUUUUGACUGUACAAAGGUAGCAUAAUAAUUAGUCUUUUAAUUGGAGGCUGGAAUGAAUGAUUGGAUGAGAUAUAGUCUGUCUUUUUAUAGAUAUUAUUUUAAUUUAAUUUUUAAGUCAAAAAGCUUAAAUAAUUUUAAAGGACGAGAAGACCCUAUAGAGUUUUAUAUUUAAAUUUAUUUAAUAAUUUAAAUUAUUUUUAAAUUUAUUUAAUUUUAUUUUAUUGGGGCGAUAGAAAAAUUAAUUAAACUUUUUUAUAAUAAUUACAUAGAUGAGUGAAUUUUUGAUCCUUUUUUUAAGAUUAUUAGAUUAAAUUACCUUAGGGAUAACAGCGUAAUUUUUUUUAGAGUUCUUAUCGAUAAUAAAGAUUGCGACCUCGAUGUUGGAUUAAAAAUUAAUUUAGGUGAAGAAGCUUAAAUGUUGAGUCUGUUCGACUUUUAAAAUUUUACA
Molecule: ribosomal RNA, 512 nt
Filed under: Aglaostigma lichtwardti
Lineage: Eukaryota; Metazoa; Arthropoda; Insecta; Hymenoptera; Tenthredinidae
Description: partial 16S ribosomal RNA
Source: RNAcentral